RNAcentral lists this ribosomal RNA (404 nucleotides) under Actinomycetes bacterium. RNAcentral describes it as "Actinobacteria bacterium partial 16S ribosomal RNA". It matches the Rfam family "Bacterial small subunit ribosomal RNA", at positions 355 to 776 of the family's 1533-position model. The record is from RNAcentral. Lineage: Bacteria; Bacillati; Actinomycetota; Actinomycetes.
UGGGGAAUAUUGGACAAUGGGCGCAAGCCUGAUCCAGCCAUGCCGCGUGUGUGAGGAAGGCCCUAGUGUUGUAAAGCUCUUUCACCGGUGAAGAUAAUGACGGUAACCGGAGAAGAAGCCCCGGCUAACUUCGUGCCAGCAGCCGCGGUAAUACGAAGGGGGCUAGCGUUGUUCGGAUUUACUGGGCGUAAAGCGCACGUAGGCGGACUUUUAAGUCAGGGGUGAAAUCCUGGGGCUCAACCCCGGAACUGCCUUUGAUACUGGAAGUCUUGAGUAUGGUAGAGGUGAGUGGAAUUCCGAGUGUAGAGGUGAAAUUCGUAGAUAUUCGGAGGAACACCAGUGGCGAAGGCGGCUCACUGGACCAUUACUGACGCUGAGGUGCGAAAGCGUGGGGAGCAAACAGG